AACGGUCUAUACCUGCGGUACCUGCGGAAGGAUCAUUACUGAGUUUUACACUCAAUCACCUCUGUGAACUUAUCUGUUGCUUUGGCAGGGAGCCAGCUUUUAGAAGGCUGCUAAUUGUCAGGAUAUAGCCAUUUUUGGCUGUCUAUCUUGUGCCCUGCCGAAGGCGUUUUAAAUCAAAAUUUUUUAGUGACUUAUCUGAUAAUGUUAUCAUAAAUAUAAUAAACUUUCAACAAUGGAUCU
This 240-nucleotide unclassified non-coding RNA is filed under the name soil metagenome. RNAcentral describes it as "partial contains 5.8S ribosomal RNA, internal transcribed spacer 2, and large subunit ribosomal RNA". The record is from RNAcentral.